RNAcentral lists this ribosomal RNA (513 nucleotides) under uncultured bacterium. Its description in RNAcentral is "partial 16S ribosomal RNA". It matches the Rfam family "Bacterial small subunit ribosomal RNA", at positions 28 to 523 of the family's 1533-position model. The record is from RNAcentral.
GACGAAUGCUGGCGGCGUGCCUAAUACAUGCAAGUUGAGCGAUGAAGAUUGGUGCUUGCACCAAUUUGAAGAGCAGCGAACGGGUGAGUAACGCGUGGGGAAUCUGCCUUUGAGCGGGGGACAACAUUUAGAAACGAAUGCUAAUACCGCAUAACAACUUUAAACAUAAGUUUUAAGUUUGAAAGAUGCAAUUGCAUCACUCAAAGAUGAUCCCGCGUUGUAUUAGCUAGUUGGUGAGGUAAAGGCUCACCAAGGCAAUGAUACAUAGCCGACCUGAGAGGGUGAUCGGCCACAUUGGGACUGGGACGCGGCCCAAACUCCUACGGGAGGCAGCAGUAGGGAAUCUUCGGCAAUGGACGAAAGUCUGACCGAGCAACGCCGCGUGAGUGAAGAAGGUUUUCGGAUCGUAAAACUCUGUUGGUAGAGAAGAACGUUGGUGAGAGUGGAAAGCUCAUCAAGUGACGGUAACUACCCAGAAAGGGACGGCUAACUACGUGCCAGCCGCCGCCGUAA